This 65-nucleotide transfer RNA is filed under the name Aulacochilus grouvellei. RNAcentral describes it as "tRNA-Thr". Lineage: Eukaryota; Metazoa; Arthropoda; Insecta; Coleoptera; Erotylidae. The record is from RNAcentral.
GUUUUAAUAAUUUAUAUAAUAAAAUAUUGGUCUUGUAAACCAAAAAAAAAAUUUUUUUUAAAACU